GAUGAACGCUGGCGGUGUGUCUAAUCCAUGAGAGUCGAGCGAACAGAUGAGGAGCUUGCUCCACUGAUGCAAGCGGCUGUUGGGCGAGUAACACGAGGAUAACCCACCUAUAAGACUUGGAUAACUUCGGGAAACUGGAGUUAAUACUGGAUAAUAUAUCGAAACGCAUGGUUCCUUAGUGAAAGACGGUUUUGCUGUCACUUAUAGAUGGACCCGCGCCGCAUUAGCUAGUUGGUAAGGUAACGGCUUACCAAGGCAACGAUGCGUAGCCGAACUGAGAGGCUGAUCGGCCACACUGGAUCUGAGACGCUCACCAGACUCCUACGGAAGGCAGCGAUAGAGAAUCUUCCGCAAUAGUCGAGGGCCUGACGAGGCAACACCGCGUGGGUGAUGAUGGUCUGCGGAUCGUAAGACUCUGUUAUUGUGGAAGAUCAAAUGUGUAAGUAUCUAUGCACGUCUUGACGGUACCUGAUCAGUAAGCCACGGCUAACUGCGUG
This 497-nucleotide ribosomal RNA is filed under the name uncultured bacterium. RNAcentral's name for it is "partial 16S ribosomal RNA". It matches the Rfam family "Bacterial small subunit ribosomal RNA", at positions 28 to 507 of the family's 1533-position model. The record is from RNAcentral.